GUGAAGAACGCAGCGAAAUGCGAUAAGUAAUGUGAAUUGCAGAAUUCAGUGAAUCAUCGAAUCUUUGAACGCACCUUGCACUCCUUGGUAUUCCGAGGAGUACGCCUGUUCGAGUGUUAUGAAGCUCUCAAAACGCAAUUGGCUUAAAACCUGAUUGUUGUUUUGGAUUUGAACUUUGCCGUGUUAUAACGGCUGGUUUUAAAAGUAUUAGCUGGUACUAGAACGAAUUGGUUCUACUCAACGUGAUAAUUAUCUGAUCGUUGAGGACAUUCCUUUCACGAGGAAUGGCCAUAGUAAAUUCAAUGGACUGCUUCUAAUCUGGCUUUAAUUCUUUAUUGGAUUAACCACUUUUCAAAUCUGACCUCGAAUCAGGUGGGACUACCCGCUGAACUUAAGCAUAUCAAUAAGCGGAGGA
RNAcentral lists this unclassified non-coding RNA (415 nucleotides) under soil metagenome. RNAcentral's name for it is "partial contains 5.8S ribosomal RNA, internal transcribed spacer 2, and large subunit ribosomal RNA". The stretch from base 2 to 119 matches the Rfam family "5.8S ribosomal RNA", at positions 37 to 154 of the family's 154-position model. The record is from RNAcentral.